This 1303-nucleotide ribosomal RNA is filed under the name uncultured bacterium. RNAcentral's name for it is "bacterial SSU rRNA". It matches the Rfam family "Bacterial small subunit ribosomal RNA", at positions 28 to 1340 of the family's 1533-position model. The record is from RNAcentral.
GANGAANNNNGGNGGCGNGCNNAAACACGCUUUUCGAACGGAAAGGCCCUGCCUUUGAGGGGCGCUCGAGUGGCGAACGGGUGAGUAACACGUGAGUAACCUGCCCUUGACUUUGGGAUAACUUCAGGAAACUGGGGCUAAUACCGGAUAGGAGCUCCUGCUGCAUGGCGGGGGUUGGAAAGUUUCGGCGGUUGGGGAUGGACUCGCGGCUUAUCAGCUUGUUGGUGGGGUAGUGGCUUACCAAGGCUUUGACGGGUAGCCGGCCUGAGAGGGUGACCGGCCACAUUGGGACUGAAAUACGGCCCAGACUCCUACGGGAGGCAGCAGUGGGGAAUAUUGCACAAUGGGCGGAAGCCAGAUGCAGCAACGCCGCGUGCGGGAUGACGGCCUUCGGGUUGAAAACCGCUUUCGCCUGUGACGAAGCGUGAGUGACGGUAAUGGGUAAAGAAGCACCGGCUAACUACGUGCCAGCAGCCGCGGUGAUACGGAGGGCGCGAGCGUUGUCCGGAUUUAUUGGGCGCAAAGGGCUCGGAGGUGGUUGAUCGCGUCGGAAGUGCAAUCUUGGGGCUUAACCCUGAGCGUGCUUACGAUACGGGUCGACUUGAGGAACGUAGGGGAGAAUGGAAUCCCUGGUGGAGCGGUGGAAUGCGCAGAUAUCAGGAGGAACACCAGUGGCGAAGGCGGUUCUCUGGGCCUUUCCUGACGCUGAGGAGCGAAAGCGUGGGGAGCGAACAGGCUUAGAUACCCUGGUAGUCCACGCUGUAAACGGUGGGUACUAGGUGUGGGGUCCAUUCCACGGGUUCCGUGCCGUAGCUAACGCUUUAAGUACCCCGCCUGGGGAGUACGGCCGCAAGGCUAAAACUCAAAGGAAUUGAUGGGGCCCCGCACAAGCGGCGGAGCAUGCGGAUUAAUUCGAUGCAACGCGUAGAACCUUACCUGGGUUUGACAUGGAUCGGGAGUGCUCAGAGAUGGGUGUGCCUCUUUUGGGGUCGGUUCACAGGUGGUGCAUGCCUGUCGUCAGCUCGUGUCGUGAGAUGUUGGGUUAAGUCCCGCAACGAGCGCAACCCUUGUUCACUGUUGCCAGCACGUUAUGGUGGGGACUCAGUGGAGACCGCCGGGGUCAACUCGGAGGAAGGUGGGGAUGACGUCAAGUCAUCAUGCCCCUUAUGUCCAGGGCUUCACGCAUGCUACAAUGGCUGGUACAGAGAGUGGCGAGCCUGUGAGGGUGAGCGAAUCUCGGAAAGCCGGUCUCAGUUCGGAUUGGGGUCUGCAACUCGACCUCAUGAAGUCGGAGUCGCUAGUA